This 468-nucleotide ribosomal RNA is filed under the name uncultured bacterium. Its description in RNAcentral is "partial 16S ribosomal RNA". It matches the Rfam family "Bacterial small subunit ribosomal RNA", at positions 28 to 507 of the family's 1533-position model. The record is from RNAcentral.
GACGAACGCUGGCGGCGUGCUUAACACAUGCAAGUCGAACGGAAAGGCCCUGCUUUUGUGGGGUGCUCGAGUGGCGAACGGGUGAGUAACACGUGAGUAACCUGCCCUUGACUUUGGGAUAACUUCAGGAAACUGGGGCUACUACCGGAUAGGAGCUCCUGCUGCAUGGUGGGGGUUGGAAAGUUUCGGCGGUUGGGGAUGGACGCGCGGCUUAUCAGCUUGUUGGUGGGGGAGUGGCUUACCAAGGCAUUGACGGGUAGCCGGCCUGAGAGGGUGACCGGCCACAAUGGGACUGAGAUACGGCCCAGACUCCUACGGGAGGCAGCAGUGGGGAAUAUUACACAAUGGUCGGAAGCCUGAUGCAGCAACGCCGCGUUCGGGAUGACGGCCUUCGGGUUGUAAACCGCUUUCGCCUGUGACGAAGCGUGAGUGACGGUAAUGGGUAAAUAAGCACCGGCUAACUACGUG